This 108-nucleotide small nucleolar RNA is filed under the name Gossypium arboreum. Its description in RNAcentral is "Plant small nucleolar RNA R71". It matches the Rfam family "Plant small nucleolar RNA R71". From Rfam's summary of the family: R71 is a member of the C/D box family of snoRNAs containing the C (UGAUGA) and D (CUGA) box motifs. Multiple nearly identical copies of this snoRNA have been identified in Arabidopsis, and it is thought to function as a 2'-O-ribose methylation guide for 18S ribosomal RNA. Lineage: Eukaryota; Viridiplantae; Streptophyta; Magnoliopsida; Malvales; Malvaceae. The record is from Rfam by way of RNAcentral.
UAACCAUGGUGAGGGCACUUUCUCAAGAGGUCUUUGUAUCUCUCCCAUGCAUCGUAGAGUGUUUCUAAAUCCAUCUGCAGAAAGGAAGAGAUAUCAUUAUGUAAUUUA